This 836-nucleotide long non-coding RNA is filed under the name Homo sapiens (human). RNAcentral's name for it is "HSALNT0158725". The record is from RNAcentral. Lineage: Eukaryota; Metazoa; Chordata; Mammalia; Primates; Hominidae.
AGGAGACACCCUGUAAGUGGCAUAAAACACUUCAAUCACACGUAGCUUUCUGGAGCAACAGACCAUGGGCUGAGGAUUGAGUUUCCGGGAGCCACAGCAAGGCUCUCCAAUGCCAUCUUUCUGUCUCACUGCUGAAAGUCAAGAAUCACAGUGCUGAUCUUCAGAAACUGUGGGUUCAGAAACUCACCUGGUCACUAGAAUUACUCUCCCCACUUUACCUCUGCUACCCCGGAGAUCCCCGAGACCAGUCCCUUUUGGGGAGCCCUUGAUGGCAUCUUCACUAGUAGCCCUUUGGCUCACAUGGGAAUACCCCCAGGGACUCCUCGCAAGAGGGCUAUGAGGGAGGCUUCAUUAUUCUAGUGUUGAAGCCCAGAGUCUCAACCUAAUCAGCGCUUUCCUUCAAGUUCGAGCCUCCAGGAGGAGCCAAGGAGUUUCAACAGCGUUUCAAAGUUCGCAGUUUGUAUUCUGCUGCACCAGAGACAUCAUUGAAUCUUACAGCUGAUGCUACCUUCUUUCCCACACCUGGAUUCACCCAAAGUCCUGGAGAACAGCACAUGGUGGAGAGAAACCCCUAGCCAAUUUUCCCUUCUGAAAGAUAAGAGCAAGACACCUGGGUGAACUGGUGGCUGAGGGACCUCCGCUCCUGGAUACAUGUCCGUAAUCAUUCAUGGAGUGAGAAAAUCGGCCUGUAUGUUACCACUAAAGAAGCUAGUCUUAUAGGGUUGUAUAACUCCAGCAAUUUCAAAGAAAAGCUUCCCUGCCACCCUCCUCAUAGAGCUGUUGACCUGGUAUCCUGGACUUUGAGGAACUAAGAUUGUCACUCACUUAAAGCAAUU